GCGGGAGUAGCUCAGGGGUAGAGCACUAGCCUUCCAAGCUAGGUACGCGAGUUCGAUUCUCGUCUCCCGCU
RNAcentral lists this transfer RNA (71 nucleotides) under Candidatus Liptonbacteria bacterium CG11_big_fil_rev_8_21_14_0_20_35_14. Its description in RNAcentral is "tRNA-Gly". It matches the Rfam family "tRNA". From Rfam's summary of the family: Transfer RNA (tRNA) molecules are approximately 80 nucleotides in length. Their secondary structure includes four short double-helical elements and three loops (D, anti-codon, and T loops). The record is from RNAcentral. Lineage: Bacteria; Candidatus Liptoniibacteriota.